CACGGGGGGAGCAAGCGUUGUUCGGAAUCACUGGGCGUAAAGGGCGUGUAGGCGGUUAGGUAAGUGGAACGUGAAAUCCCUCGGCUCACCCGAGGACCUGCGUCCCAAACUGCCUAGCUUGAGUAUGGGAGAGGAUGAGGGAAUUCCAGGUGUAGCGGUGAAAUGCGUAGAUAUCAGGAAGAACACCGAUGGCGAAGGCAGCUCUCUGGGACGGUACUGACGCUGAGACGCGAAAGCGUGGGGAGCGAACAGG
Molecule: ribosomal RNA, 253 nt
Filed under: uncultured bacterium
Lineage: Bacteria
Description: partial 16S ribosomal RNA
Rfam family: Bacterial small subunit ribosomal RNA
Source: RNAcentral